Molecule: long non-coding RNA, 336 nt
Filed under: Heterocephalus glaber (naked mole-rat)
Lineage: Eukaryota; Metazoa; Chordata; Mammalia; Rodentia; Bathyergidae
Description: lncRNA (ENSHGLG00100045309.1)
Source: RNAcentral
CGCACAGUUCAGCACCUGGUGGGACCCACUGGACAGCUGCAUGACAGAGGCAUUGAACUCAGGACCUUGUGAGGCAGUCGGUGGAACCAAUGAGCUAAAUCCACGGCCCAAGUUUAUUCUUCUUUAUAGCAGAGUAGUACUCCAUUGCAUGUGAAAACUUUCUUUUUUUUAUUACUACUUGGUUCUCAAAGAAACAAGAUGUCUUCAGCUGAUGUAAUCUUGCCCUUGAGCAUCACAAUAUCAUGGGAUCAUUCAAGCUUCAACUUGUCUCCAGAGGCAAAACAGAGUUAUGUUUCCGCAUGCCAUAGCUGGCUCAUGGGCAAGAAAACACUGGGC